UACGUAGGGGGCAAGCGUUAUCCGGAAUUACUGGGUGUAAAGGGAGCGUAGACGGUAAUGUAAGUCUGGAGUGAAAGGCGGGGGCCCAACCCCCGGAACUGCUUUGGAAACUGUGCAGCUCGAGUGCAGGAGAGGUAAGCGGAAUUCCUAGUGUAGCGGUGAAAUGCGUAGAUAUUAGGAGGAACACCAGUGGCGAAGGCGGCUUACUGGACUGUAACUGACGUUGAGGCGCGAAGGCGUGGGGAGCAAACAGG
RNAcentral lists this ribosomal RNA (254 nucleotides) under uncultured Eubacteriales bacterium. RNAcentral describes it as "uncultured Clostridiales bacterium partial 16S ribosomal RNA". It matches the Rfam family "Bacterial small subunit ribosomal RNA", at positions 524 to 776 of the family's 1533-position model. The record is from RNAcentral. Lineage: Bacteria; Bacillati; Bacillota; Clostridia; Eubacteriales.